GGCCCAAUUGUGUAGGGGAAUAAGGAUAAGUCAUGGAGGGGAACUCUAAGGGGUUCGCCUAAUUGGGGCUUAUAGCACUUCUGUUUCGUGUAGGGUGUCUGCCGGAUUCCGGGGAAUCGUCUCUUGUUGUUAAUUGAGUGCUUACUCUCAUUUGCUGGUAGAGGGCUAUUUCGUUGCCGAUGUGUGCAUCGUCUCUUGGUGGGGUUCCUUUAGGGGAGACCUGUCAGGUCUGGUAUAUGUUUCCGUUGUGGAUUGACACGAUGAGUGUACAUUAGCUGCUUUCGAUAAAGGGUCCCCUUUCUGAAUAAGUGGGGGAGUGGCUUUAGUGGUUGCAGUGGGGUUCAGAAUGUACUCUGCUUCAGUGGCCUAGUCCCUGGGAGGUGCUCGUCUAAGCUACUUUUCUCUUAUAUUGAGUGUAAG
Pelobates cultripes (western spadefoot toad) is the source of this 420-nucleotide non-coding RNA. NCBI's taxonomy places the organism in Eukaryota, Metazoa, Chordata, Amphibia, Anura, Pelobatidae. The record is from the annotation of a GenBank genome assembly.